CAAUAGCGUAUAUUUAAGUUGUUGCAGUUAAAAAGCUCGUAGUUGGAUUUCGGUUAAGAGCGACCGGUCCGCCGUUUGGUGUGCACUGGUUGGUUUUAACUUCCUGUAGAGGACGUGCUCUGGGUUUAACGACCUGGACUCGGAGUCUACGUGGUUACUUUGAAAAAAUUAGAGUGUUCAAAGCGGGCUUACGCUUGAAUAUUUCAGCAUGGAAUAACACUAUAGGACUCCUGUCCUAUUUCGUUGGUCUCGGGACGGGAGUAAUGAUUAAGAGGAACAGUUGGGGGCAUUCGUAUUUCAUUGUCAGAGGUGAAAUUCUUGGAUUUAUGAAAGACGAACUUCUGUGAAAGCAUUUGCCAAGGAUGUUUUCAUUAA
This 375-nucleotide ribosomal RNA is filed under the name uncultured eukaryote. RNAcentral's name for it is "partial 18S ribosomal RNA". It matches the Rfam family "Eukaryotic small subunit ribosomal RNA", at positions 592 to 976 of the family's 1831-position model. The record is from RNAcentral.